GUUGCAUGCAGCGAGGUUCUCAGUUUUGCUUAAGUGACCACAAAAACUCUUCUUGGGAACGUUCUGGCGUCGUACCCAAUGCAGAGCAUCCCCAUCGUGGUGCUGAGCACCUCAAUUGUGACAACAGACCGGGAUUUUCUCGACCGAUAACGCUUUGUGAGACGUUUGCAAUGGGGAGGUUUCCCCUCUAGAUGGCAGAGAUGACAGCAGCAAUACCGCACGGGCCCACGCUGCGGAGCGGCCAAACGCGGAGGUGCGCGGCGCUCGCCCAGCGCGGAGGUCCCCGUCCAUCGCGUGGGACCUGCCCAGCUCUCACCAGAUGGACGUGCCCAGCCGGCCCGACAGCCCCACGGUGCCCAGAGCUGGGCUGCCAGCCCCGAGCAGAGCGUGCAGGAGAGGACCACGAGGGGAGUGCUGCAUGCAGACUACUGCCACCUCUUCCUGAGGUACCAACUCAGAGCUCCACAGAGAGCAG
RNAcentral lists this long non-coding RNA (475 nucleotides) under Gallus gallus (chicken). Its description in RNAcentral is "long non-coding RNA NONGGAT003633". Lineage: Eukaryota; Metazoa; Chordata; Aves; Galliformes; Phasianidae. The record is from RNAcentral.